This 497-nucleotide ribosomal RNA is filed under the name uncultured bacterium. Its description in RNAcentral is "partial 16S ribosomal RNA". It matches the Rfam family "Bacterial small subunit ribosomal RNA", at positions 28 to 507 of the family's 1533-position model. The record is from RNAcentral.
GAUGAACGCUGGCGGCGUGCCUAAUACAUGCAAGUCGAGCGAACAGACGAGGAGCUUGCUCCUCUGACGUUAGCGGCGGACGGGUGAGUAACACGUGGAUAACCUACCUAUAAGACUGGGAUAACUUCGGGAAACCGGAGCUAAUACCGGAUAAUAUAUUGAACCGCAUGGUUCAAUAGUGAAAGACGGUUUUGCUGUCACUUAUAGAUGGAUCCCCGCCGCAUUAGCUAGUUGGUAAGGUAACGGCUUACCAAGGCAACGAUGCGUAGCCGACCUGAGAGGGGGAUCGGCCACACUGGAACUGAGACACGGUCCAGACUCCUACGGGAGGCAGCAGUAGGGAAUCUUCCGCAAUGGGCGAAAGCUUGACGGAGCAACGCCGCGUGAGUGAUGAAGGUCUUCGGAUCGUAAAACUCUGUUAUUAGGGAAGAACAAAUGUGUAAGUAACUAUGCACGUCUUGACGGUACCUAAUCAGAAAGCCACGGCUAACUACGUG